RNAcentral lists this ribosomal RNA (253 nucleotides) under uncultured bacterium. Its description in RNAcentral is "partial 16S ribosomal RNA". It matches the Rfam family "Bacterial small subunit ribosomal RNA", at positions 524 to 776 of the family's 1533-position model. The record is from RNAcentral.
UACAGAGGGUGCGAGCGUUGUCCGGAAUCACUGGGCGUAAAGGGCGCGUAGGCGGCGCGGUAAGCGUGCGGUGAAAGCCCGGGGCUCAACCCCGGGUCGGCCGUGCGGACUGCCGGGCUGGAGCACUGUAGAGGCAGGUGGAAUUCCGGGUGUAGCGGUGGAAUGCGUAGAGAUCCGGAAGAACACCGGUGGCGAAGGCGGCCUGCUGGGCAGUAGCUGACACUGAGACGCGAAAGCGUGGGGAGCAAACAGG